GAGUUUGAUCUUGGCUCAGAGCGAACGCUGGCGGCAGGCCUAACACAUGCAAGUCGAGCGGAUGUAGCAAUACAUCAGCGGCAGACGGGAUAGUAACACGUGGGAACGUGCCCUUUGGUUCGGAAUAACUCGGCGAAAGCCGUGCUAAUACCGGAUAAGCCCUUACGGGGAAAGAUUCAUCGCCAUUGGAGCGGCCCGCGUCUGAUUAGCUAGUUGGUGAGGUAAUGGCUCACCAAGGCGACGAUCAGUAGCUGGUCUGAGAGGAUGAUCAGCAUCACUGGGACUGAGACACGGCCCAGACUCCUACGGGAGGCAGCAGUGGGGAAUAUUGGACAAUGGGCGCAAGCCUGAUCCAGCCAUGCCGCGUGGAUGAUGAAGGCCUUAGGGUUGUAAAGUCCUUUUAACGGGGAAGAUAAUGACGGUACCCGUAGAAUAAGCCCCGGCUAACUUCGUGCCAGCCGCCGCCGUAAG
This 471-nucleotide ribosomal RNA is filed under the name uncultured Alphaproteobacteria bacterium. Its description in RNAcentral is "bacterial SSU rRNA". It matches the Rfam family "Bacterial small subunit ribosomal RNA", at positions 9 to 524 of the family's 1533-position model. The record is from RNAcentral. Lineage: Bacteria; Pseudomonadati; Pseudomonadota; Alphaproteobacteria.